RNAcentral lists this ribosomal RNA (468 nucleotides) under uncultured bacterium. RNAcentral describes it as "partial 16S ribosomal RNA". It matches the Rfam family "Bacterial small subunit ribosomal RNA", at positions 28 to 507 of the family's 1533-position model. The record is from RNAcentral.
GACGAACGCUGGCGGCGUGCUUAUCACAUGCAAGUCGAACGGAAAGGCCCUGCUUUUGUGGGGUGCUCUAGUGGCGAACGGGUGAGUAACACGUGAGUAACCUGCCCUUGACUUUGGGAUAACUUCAGGAAACUGGGGCUAAUACCGGAUAGGAGCUCCUGCUGCAUGGUGGGGGUUGGAACGUUUCGGCGGUUGGGGAUGGACUCGCGGCUUAUCAGCUUGUUGGUGGGGUAGUGGCUUACCAAGGCUUUGACGGGUAGCCGGCCUGAGAGGGUGACCGGCCACAUUGGGACUGAGAUACGGCCCAGACUCCUACGGGAGGCAGCAGUGGGGAAUAUUGCACAAUGGGCGGAAGCCUGAUGCAGCAACGCCGCGUGCGGGAUGACGGCCUUCGGGUUGUAAACCGCUUUCGCCUGUGACGAAGCGUGAGUGACGGUAAUGGGUAAAGAAGCACCGGCUAACUACGUG